CGAGGUCUGGAACUCUGGUUGGAGC
This 25-nucleotide non-coding RNA is filed under the name Mus musculus (house mouse). The record is from RNAcentral. Lineage: Eukaryota; Metazoa; Chordata; Mammalia; Rodentia; Muridae.